CAACCUCUGGAGGCAAACUUGUAUGUUG
Molecule: non-coding RNA, 28 nt
Organism: Nestor notabilis (Kea)
Lineage: Eukaryota; Metazoa; Chordata; Aves; Psittaciformes; Psittacidae
Source: Rfam